This 492-nucleotide ribosomal RNA is filed under the name uncultured bacterium. Its description in RNAcentral is "partial 16S ribosomal RNA". It matches the Rfam family "Bacterial small subunit ribosomal RNA", at positions 29 to 507 of the family's 1533-position model. The record is from RNAcentral.
AGUGAACGCUGGCGGUAGGCCUAACACAUGCAAGUCGAACGGCAGCACAGUAAGAGCUUGCUCUUACGGGUGGCGAGUGGCGGACGGGUGAGGAAUACAUCGGAAUCUACUUUUUCGUGGGGGAUAACGUAGGGAAACUUACGCUAAUACCGCAUACGACCUACGGGUGAAAGCAGGGGAUCUUCGGACCUUGCGCGAUUGAAUGAGCCGAUGUCGGAUUAGCUAGUUGGCGGGGUAAAGGCCCACCAAGGCGACGAUCCGUAGCUGGUCUGAGAGGAUGAUCAGCCCCACUGGAACUGAGACACGGUCCAGACUCCUACGGGAGGCAGCAGUGGGGAAUAUUGGACAAUGGGCGCAAGCCUGCUCCAGCCAUACCGCGUGGGUGAAGCAGGCCUUCGGGUUGUAAAGCACUUUUGUUGGGAAAGAAAAGCAGCAGGUUAAUACCCCGCUGUUCUGACGGUACCCAAAGAAUAAGCACCGGCUAACUUCGUG